This 216-nucleotide long non-coding RNA is filed under the name Elaeis guineensis (African oil palm). RNAcentral describes it as "long non-coding RNA (EGUI_LNC063069)". Lineage: Eukaryota; Viridiplantae; Streptophyta; Magnoliopsida; Arecales; Arecaceae. The record is from RNAcentral.
GUGGCUGAAGAGUCCAAUUAGAUUGUGACUCUCGUGAGGAGUCCCACUUGGACUAAGACUCUGGAAGAGAGUUCCACUGGAUUGAAACUCUAUUAUUAAUAAAAAACUAAUUAGUAAUUAGAUUAUUAAUUAUCUUAAUUUGAUUAAACAAAGAGCUUUGCAUCAAGUCUAAUUGAAUUAGAUUCAGUUCGACUUAGAUUGGGUUUGAUAUGAUCA